GUUUGAUUAUGUAAUCAGAUUCAGACGCUGGCGUAGGAUUCUUUUACACAUGCAAGUCGAACGGCAGCACGGACUUCGGUCUGGUGGCGAGUGGCGAACAGGUGAGUAAUGUAUCGGAACGUGCCUAGUAGCGGGGGAUAACUACGCAGCGUAGCUAAUACACCUUCGCCCUUCGGGGAAAGCGGGGACCUUCGGGCCUCGCACUAUUAAGAGCGGCCGAUAUCGGAUUAGCUAGUUGGUGGGGUAACGGCUCGCAAGGCGACGAUCGUCCAGCUGGUUUGAGAGGACGACCAGCUUCACACUGGGACUGAGACUGACCCAGACUCCUACAGGAGGCAGCAGUGAAAUUUUGGACAAUGGGGAAACCUGAUCCAGCCAUCCGCGUGUGCGAUGAGGCGCUGGGUUGUAAAGCACUUUUGGCAGGAAAGAAACGGCACGGGAUAUUACCCCGUGCAACUGACGGUACCUGCAAGUAAACGCCGGCUAACUACGUGCCAGCAGCCGCGGUAAUACGUAGAGUGCAAGCGUUAAUCGGAAUUACUGGGCGUAAAGCGUGCGCAGGCGGUUCCGGAAAGAAAAGAUGCGAAAUCCCAGAGCUUAACUUUUGGAACUGCAUUUUUAACUACCGAGCUGGAAGUGUGUCAGAGGAGGUGGAAUUCCUUACGUGUAGCAGUGAAAUGCGUAGAUAGCACGUGGAGGAGGAACACCGAUGGCGAAGGCAGCCUCUGGGAUAACACCCCAGCCCGCUCAUGCACGAAAAGCGUGAGGCAAACAGGAUUGAAUGCCCUGGUAGUCCACGCCCUAAACGAUGUCAACUAUGGCUGUUGGGGCCUUCCGGGCCUUGGUAGCGCAGCCUAACGUGAAGUUGACCGCGCCUGGGAAAUACAGGUAUAAGAUUAAAACUCAAAGGAAUUGACGGGGACCCCGCACAAGCGGGGGAUGAUGUGGAUUAAUUCCGAUGCAACGCGAAAAACCUUACCUACCCUUGACGCUGUCUGAAUCCCCGAAGAGAUUUGGGGGUGCUCGCAAGAGGAACCGGAACACAGGUCUACACAUGGCUGUCGUCAGCUCGUGUCGUGAGAUGUUAUGAGUUAAGUCCCACCAACGAGCGCAACCCUUGUCAUUAGUUGCUGAAAGGGCACUCUAAUGAGACUUGCCGGUGACAAACCGGAGGAAGGUGGGGAUGACGUCAAGUCCUCAUGGCCCUUAUGGGUAGGGCUUCACACGUCAUACAAUGGUCUGGGACAGAGGGUCGCCAGCCCCGCGAGGGGAGCCAAUCCCAGAAACCCGAUCGUAGUCCGGAUCGCAGUCUGCAACUCGACUGCGUGAAGUCAAGAAUCGCUAUUAAUCGCGGAUCAGCAUGUAGCGGUGUGAAUACGUUCCCGGGUCUUGUACACACCGCCCGUCACACCAUGGGAGUGGGUUUUACCAGAAGUAGUUAGCCUAACCGUAAGGAGGGCGAUUACCACGGUAGGAUUCAUGACUGGGUGAAGUCGUAACAAGGUAA
This 1507-nucleotide ribosomal RNA is filed under the name uncultured Bordetella sp. RNAcentral's name for it is "partial 16S-23S ribosomal RNA intergenic spacer". It matches the Rfam family "Bacterial small subunit ribosomal RNA". The record is from RNAcentral. Lineage: Bacteria; Pseudomonadati; Pseudomonadota; Betaproteobacteria; Burkholderiales; Alcaligenaceae.